This is a long non-coding RNA of Oncorhynchus keta (chum salmon), 195 nucleotides long. RefSeq lists it as uncharacterized. The record is from RefSeq and is a predicted model, not a curated record. The transcript has 3 exons. Lineage: Eukaryota; Metazoa; Chordata; Actinopteri; Salmoniformes; Salmonidae.
GCAACAGAGGUUACGUGCCCUGUGUCCAUGGAGCAAAUGUCUAUACUGCCCACCGGCGUCUGUAUUAGAGGUCAUCACGGAUCCACCUGUACACGGUUUUCCAGCUGCUGUGUGUCUGUGAAGAACUCCCUGACCAGUGUCUUGAGUUGCCAUGGUGACACGACUGCUUCUGUUGAAUAGCUCUGAGACAUGAAG